This 681-nucleotide ribosomal RNA is filed under the name Triticum aestivum (bread wheat). RNAcentral describes it as "partial small subunit ribosomal RNA". The record is from RNAcentral. Lineage: Eukaryota; Viridiplantae; Streptophyta; Magnoliopsida; Poales; Poaceae.
AUGGUGGGUACCACUUUUGAGCUUGAUGAGGACGAUGAUAACCAGGGCACUGUUGUUUCCUUUGUUCCUUAUGAUGCUGCUAUCAAUAUGCGCCAAACUAGCUUUGGGCCUCAAGUCUGGCUACUGUACAUUGGAUUUCCCCAUGAUUAUCAAACAUCUCACUACAUCCAUAAGCCGGUCGAUAAAUUUGGGGCACUAAUCACUUGGAAUAAUCCUAGAGGGGACAGGAAGUUUGUUCUGAUCAAAGCCAGAGUUCUUAGCUUGCGUCGGGUCCCAAAAAGCUUCGUUAUGCAUCAGCUGGGUGGUGAGCACCAUUGCUGGACUGUUUGCAUCAUGAUUCUGCGCAAUAGUGAUUGGAAUGCCCAUAUCCCGGAUGUGCCGCCGGCGGACAUUGAACCACCUCCUGCUGAUGGGAUUCCCCAUCCCCUAUUUGGUGACACUCUCACUGCUGAACAAAUGUACCAAGCCCAGUUGCACAAUUGGCUGGCCCAGAACGCCACGCCAAACACGCCUGAUGCCUCUCCUCAACACAAUGCUCCUCAGGGUCACGAUGUUCACUUCCCAGCGGGAUGGGGUGCAUGGCCACCUUCGCCGCCGCCUGCACUGUAUAACUUUCAGGCUUGGCUGACGGCAGAGGGUCUGCAAGUGCAAGAUGGGAUUUUACCUGCUAAUAAUCUCUAG